CUCAUGUACAUGUAGCAUGCAUACGCACAAAAAUGUGGUGUACUUCCGUCUCCAUGCCAACGUUCAGAUGUAUCAAAAGUGAAAUGACUGUGGAAAUACAGACCUGUAAA
This is a long non-coding RNA of Thalassophryne amazonica, 110 nucleotides long. RefSeq lists it as uncharacterized. The transcript is spliced from 3 exons. NCBI's taxonomy places the organism in Eukaryota, Metazoa, Chordata, Actinopteri, Batrachoidiformes, Batrachoididae. The record is from RefSeq and is a predicted model, not a curated record.